Long non-coding RNA from Xenopus tropicalis (tropical clawed frog), 1620 nucleotides. RefSeq lists it as uncharacterized. The transcript has 2 exons. The record is from RefSeq and is a predicted model, not a curated record. NCBI's taxonomy places the organism in Eukaryota, Metazoa, Chordata, Amphibia, Anura, Pipidae.
UUUAGGAAGUGGCUUCUCUGAGAGCUCCAGGCAGAUUGUUUAUAUGCCUGUUGGAACAACAUCACACAAUUUGCUGCUUUGAUGGAAGACAGUUCUACAGCAUAAAUACAUCUCUGGAGCUUCAUUGUCGGCCUGGGUACUGAUUCAUGCUUGCUGCAGGAACCCAUGCCAUGCUUUGGCAAAAGCAGAGGAAAAUCUGAGCCAAGAACAUUACGUGGGGAAUCCCCACUACUGCAACAUGAAUAGGAAAUAAAGUAAAUCAAAAUGAGAAAAAUAUUUUUACAAGGCUCAAAGUAGAUGAAGAGAGCAUAUUCAGAAAUGUCUGCAUUGAUCAUACAAAUCGAAUUCUGGCCUCCUGGAUUUAUCUAAGAACAUAAUAUUUAUAAUAUGCUUUUACAUUUGGGACUGUAUGAUACUCCUGUUUCCUUAUUAGCACAUAAAUACUUGGAAAUCAUUUGCAUUUAGAUAUAUCACUGCACAUUCCAGGCCAGUUAGCUACAUUAUGCAGUCCUAAACAGCCAAGACAUCUUUGCAGAAUUGGCAGUCCUGUGAUAGCUGCUUUCAGAAUAAGUCAUUUGCAUAAUACAUUUACAUUUAUAUUAGCAGGUAAUAGUGCUUUGUAACUGUCACACCCCAUCCUAUAUUUAUACCUUGCUGUAAUAAUCUUAGCACAAUUGUACCCAGAUAAUUGUGAACCUGGGACUCCUGUCCAAAAAUCUAGUUAGGGUUCCUCUCUCACUAAUGCUAUGUUAGAAACAAUACCUAUAUAAUUAUUGCUCAUUCUACAUUAGAAUGUUAGGACUUUUUAAUUUAGAGAUGGAGCAGAUUGUGCACGGACAGUGACACCCAUUUUAGUGCAAACAACAUUUCCCAUUAGUGAAAACUUUGACUUUUCAUUGAAUUGGUUGAAUAAAACAGUUUUACUUAGGGAGGAGAGCCAGAUUUCACUUUGCAAAGACUUAAAAAACUAAUGGUGACAUGUAAUAAAAGUCACAAACAUAAAAAUAAUUUGCACACAUAAUAAUAACAAUUCACAUAUUGAAUUGUAAUAUUCUUCAUUAGACAGUGACUGCAUAGUGAAUUUAAUUGCCCAUUGAACUUUGCCUGCAGGAGUAAAUUUGAGCGACUUCAAAAAACCAAUGUGAUGCGUAGGCCUUUCUACCAGCGAUUCCCUUUGUUGCCAGUGGAAAGGCAUUUAGGAGAGAUUAGCCGCUUGCAGUAGCAGAAAUUUAUUGUGGGCGACUAAUCACUGCGAGGCAUAGCUGAAGGGGAAAAGGUAGGAGACAUGCAGGUCAGCUAGUAUAAAGUUUCAGUUGUUCAGAGAAAAAGGGACACCUAUGCACAUAUGCAAAUACUGUAUAGGAAAAACCAAUAGAUUUCACUAGUGAUGUUUCUGUAAAGUCUGCCUCAAAUUUACCAGCAGAUUAUAGGUGUGUAGGUAAUUAGUAAUCCCAGAACAUAAUACACACCAGAAAGUUUAAAAGGCAGCUUUGGAAUAAAGAUGGUAGUUAAAGAGGCAAGAUGGUUCAAGCGCUGCUUUUUAAGAUGGUGAUUAGAGUUAUGGUAUAGCUUUAAGGAAAACUUGAACCUGAGGUUGCCUUUGCAAAGAGAGGCAGAAGA